CCUACGGGUGGCAGCAGUGAGGAAUAUUGGUCAAUGGACGAGAGUCUGAACCAGCCAAGUAGCGUGAAGGAUGACUGCCCUAUGGGUUGUAAACUUCUUUUAUAUGGGAAUAAAACGUUCCACGUGUGGGAUUUUGUAUGUACCAUAUGAAUAAGGCUCGGCUAACUCCGUGCCAGCAGCCGCGGUAAUACGGAGGAUCCGAGCGUUAUCCGGAUUUAUUGGGUUUAAAGGGAGCGUAGGUGGAUUGUUAAGUCAGUUGUGAAAGUUUGCGGCUCAACCGUAAAAUUGCAGUUGAAACUGGCAGUCUUGAGUACAGUAGAGGUUGGCGGAAUUCGUGGUGUAGCGGUGAAAUGCUUAGAUAUCACGAAGAACACCGAUUGCGAAGGCAGUUCACUGGACUGCAACUGACACUGAGGCUCGAAAGUGUGGGUAUCAAACAGGAUUAGAUACCCGAGUAGUC
This 460-nucleotide ribosomal RNA is filed under the name uncultured bacterium. RNAcentral describes it as "partial 16S ribosomal RNA". It matches the Rfam family "Bacterial small subunit ribosomal RNA", at positions 338 to 795 of the family's 1533-position model. The record is from RNAcentral.